Long non-coding RNA from Triticum urartu, 1760 nucleotides. RefSeq lists it as uncharacterized. The record is from RefSeq and is a predicted model, not a curated record. Lineage: Eukaryota; Viridiplantae; Streptophyta; Magnoliopsida; Poales; Poaceae.
CCACCACAGGCCGACCCAGCCGCCGCACUCAUCGCCGUUAACACCACCUCUUCCGCAUCCCCCGAUCCACACCGCCCGGCCAAGGGCCACGGCUCCAUUCCCCAACCACCACGCCGCCGAACCCAUAUACCCCCAUCUCCCACACCACACCCCCAUCUGAAUCCACGCUGCCCGGCCUGCCACAUCACACCCCGUUGAUGUCGCACUCGCGCGCUGGCUGCAAGGCGCCAUCGAUGUAAUUCCCCUAAACUGAGACAGAGAGAGGGAGGACGGGGUCAUGGGGCUCCUCCACGCGCCUGGAUCCAGGCGCCACUCAACGCAUCUUGCUCGAUCUGGCCGCCGCCGCGCGCGUCCGUGCUGGAUCUGGCCUUCACAGUCGAAGCUGGGUGGAGGAGCAUGGGGCGGUGGCUUGGUUGUGGAGGUGGGGAAGCGAGCACGGGGCGGUGGCUUGGUUGUGGAGGAGGUGAAGCGAACACGUGUUGUUCUGGCUAGGAGGUGAGUUGCUCAUCCUCGAUCUAGAGAAGGGGAAGGCAGAGGUCUAGGUUCACAAGUUGAGGUAAGCUGCAGCCAUAAAUAAUCGAAGAAGUACAACUUCACAGUUUUGGUGAGAUUCUUGAUCCUAGUUGAAGACUUAUAAUGGUCCUUCCAUCAUGUGGCAUCGUUUGACUACAUUUUGAAUACCUCGUAAUUUGUUUCUAUCAUUACAUAGUUGUAUCAUAGGGAGUAAAAUAUAUUGUGGUGUGAUAAUGGAAAUUCUUGAAUUGGACCAUCACCACAACGGAAAUAUUGUGCUCUUUUGAAUGUUGUUGGUUUGACGACCGUGUACACGGCAAGUGGGUAAACUUUGAUAUAUUUGGAAUCACAGGUAUGAACUCUAAGCAUUUAUUUAACUCUGGUGAGAACUUGUCUGACGAACAAUUAUUUCUGCCUCCCCAAGCAACUCAAGCGUAUUCUGUCCAAGAUUCCAUUAACAAAGAUUCAUGUAGUGUUGUCCAUUCGAAGCCAGGAAUCCUUUUGAAUAUUCUUGGAAAAGAAAUGAAAACUUUGAGAAGGUUGAUGAACCUGUGAUUCUGUUCCUUGGUUUAGAUGCUAAUGUAAAUCUCCAGCCUGAUGUUCUAGAUGCACCUCGUAUUAGAAAAGAUAUAGAUGUACAAUUGUCAGUCAGGUUAAGAAGGAUAAAUAUGUAGCUUAAAAAGCUCUUUUAGUAUUUUGUAAUGUUCCUCUACUUCAGGCUAUGCCCUGUGCAUAAGACGCACUAUUGCUAAUUAUGUCUUUUAUAUUUAAGUAUUCCUGCAGAGUGCUUCUUUGUUCUAUUUUAGAUUGCAUAACACUUAUACUGAUUCUAAGAUGAUGUUUCUUUUCAGGAAAAGAAUGGCAAACAGAGGAUAAAGAGAUGAUGCUGCUACAUAUGAAGAUUUGCGAACAGGGAAUGUAAGGCUUGUCACAUAGAGGUUGAAUGAAUUCAUUCCAAGUCUUGUAUGAACAAAACAACAAGGCAAAGGUCACAAGUAUAAUGCCUUUGCAUCCACAAGGUUCUAGAGGUGUGUUUGGUGAGCUAAAAGGGUCUUUUGCUGGUUUCGGUUUUCUCCAUAAUGUAAAACUUUUACUUGUGAACCUACAAAUGUACUCAUGUGUGCAUGUAGACCUGAUGGAUGGUUGUGCUUUUGGUUGUCCUGUAACUGGACUUGUAUGCCCAUGUGUGCAUCCAGGCAUUGUAGCGACCCGACCUGAAUGGAUCAAGUCUCUGUGCUUAAGUGUCA